GCCGGGUGUGGUGGUGUGCACCUGUAAUCCCAGGUAUUUAGGAGGCUGAGGCAGGAGAAUCGCUUGAACCCAGGAGGUAGAGGUUGCAGUGAGCUGAGAUCGUGCCACUGCACUCCAGCCUGUGUGACAGAGUGAUACUCUGUCUCAA
This is an unclassified non-coding RNA of Callithrix jacchus (white-tufted-ear marmoset), 148 nucleotides long. It matches the Rfam family "Metazoan signal recognition particle RNA". Rfam says of the family: The signal recognition particle (SRP) is a universally conserved ribonucleoprotein. Lineage: Eukaryota; Metazoa; Chordata; Mammalia; Primates; Cebidae. The record is from Ensembl.